This 466-nucleotide ribosomal RNA is filed under the name uncultured bacterium. RNAcentral describes it as "partial 16S ribosomal RNA". It matches the Rfam family "Bacterial small subunit ribosomal RNA", at positions 28 to 507 of the family's 1533-position model. The record is from RNAcentral.
GAUGAACGCUGGCGGCGUGCUUAACACAUGCAAGUCGAACGAUGAAGCCCAGCUUGCUGGGUGGAGUAGUGGCGAACGGGUGAGUAACACGUGAGUAACCUGCCCUUAACUCUGGGAUAAGCCUGGUAAACUGGGUCUAAUACCGGAUAGGAGCGUCCACCGCAUGGUGGGUGUUGGAGAGAUUUAUCGGUUUUGGAUGGACUCGCGGCCUAUCAGCUUGUUGGUGAGGUAAUGGCUCACCAAGGCGACGACGGGUAGCCGGCCUGAGAGGGUGACCGGCCACACUGGGACUGAGACACGGCCCAGACUCCUACGGGAGGCAGCAGUGGGGAAUAUUGCACAAUGGGCGCAAGCCUGAUGCAGCGACGCCGCGUGAGGGAUGACGGCCUUCGGGUUGUAAACCUCUUUCAGUAGGGAAGAAGCGAAAGUGACGGUACCUGCAGAAGAAGCACCGGCUAACUACGUG